The sequence is a ribosomal RNA, 437 nucleotides long. It matches the Rfam family "Bacterial small subunit ribosomal RNA", at positions 341 to 792 of the family's 1533-position model.
ACGGAAGGCAGCAGUGGGGCAUAUUUGGCAAUGGGCGAAAGCCUGACCCAGCAACGCCGCGUGAAGGAAGAAGGCCUUCGGGUUGUAAACUUCUUUUACCAGGGACGAAGGACGUGACGGUACCUGGAGAAAAAGCAACGGCUAACUACGUGCCAGCAGCCGCGGUAAUACGUAGGUUGCAAGCGUUGUCCGGAUUUACUGGGUGUAAAGGGCGUGUAGGCGGAGCUGCAAGUCAGAUGUGAAAUCCCGGGGCGCAACCCCGGAACUGCAUUUGAACCUGUAGCCCUUGAGUAUCGGAGAGGCAAGCGGAAUUCCUAGUGUAGCGGUGAAAUGCGUAGAUAUUAGGAGGAACACCAGUGGCGAAGGCGGCUUGCUGGACGACAACUGACGCUGAGGCGCGAAAGCGUGGGGAGCAAACAGGAUUAGAUACCCUGGUA